RNAcentral lists this ribosomal RNA (229 nucleotides) under uncultured bacterium. RNAcentral describes it as "partial 16S ribosomal RNA". It matches the Rfam family "Bacterial small subunit ribosomal RNA", at positions 568 to 796 of the family's 1533-position model. The record is from RNAcentral.
UGCGUAGGCGGGAGAUUAAGUCAGUGGUGAAAUCCUGCAGCUUAACUGUAGAACUGCCAUUGAUACUGGUUUUCUUGAGUGUAGUUGAAGUGGGCGGAAUGUGUAUUGUAGCGGUGAAAUGCUUAGAUAUUACACAGAACACCUAUUGCGAAGGCAGCUCACUAAACUAAUACUGACGCUGAGGCACGAAAGCGUGGGGAGCAAACAGGAUUAGAUACCCUGGUAGUCC